Papaver somniferum (opium poppy) is the source of this 2860-nucleotide long non-coding RNA. RefSeq lists it as uncharacterized. Lineage: Eukaryota; Viridiplantae; Streptophyta; Magnoliopsida; Ranunculales; Papaveraceae. The record is from RefSeq and is a predicted model, not a curated record. The transcript has 4 exons.
AGCUCAAUCGUUUUCUAUAGACUCAGUCCCAAAAUCCUCUACCCUCAAAACCUUCGUCUUACUACCUUACAAGUUGCAUCAUUAAACAUGGAAGACGCAGGUUCCAUUUAGUUAGUCAUGGGGAUGUUCUCCAUGGUUUUUAGUUUUGGUUUAGUUCUCAGAUCAACCAGGAUUGCAAAACUCAAAUUAGUUCUCAGAUCUAUCGGUAUUGCAAAACUCAAAUUACGGAUUAUGCCAUGGAGUUACUGAUUUUGACCUAAUUGCUAGGGGCCUGAUUGCAUCCUCCCACAUCAAUGUUCCAUCACGAUAUAUUGCCGCUUUGUUUCAGGUUCUGUAGCAGCUGAAUGGAGGUAAUCAUUAAAAGCUAAUGUAUUGGAAUUUUAAUCUGCAACAAAUCAAGUUGGAGGUAAUUCUGCUGAUACAAUCACCAUCUUCAUCCCAAUCUAAUAGAGGUAGUUAUUCCCCCUUUCUAUUGUCAAGUUGAUAAAAUAGUGAUAGGUAAAUCUUAUACGUACUUGAAAUGGUUAGCUUAGAUUACACUUUUGUAGUUGGGAUGUAUUGAUAAUCAUCAGAGUUGUCCUUACACAGGGGGGAGGAUUCCUCCGCAAAAAUCCUCUUUUAUCACAUAUGAAGGCCUAAACUUCAAAACGUAUCUCACCGGUAAAACAUUUUACACAUAAACUAUAUUUGAUGUAACAUUGAUAUCGUAACCUAGGGUGGCAAUCACUUAUCAUUAGAAAUUUUGGACUGCAAAUGUCGUGAACAUGUUGAAAACCGUAACCAACAUUCGAAUAGAUGCAUGAACUCACCAUUGAGAAUCUUAGGUUUGUGUUCUUUGCACUUCUUUGUUUUAUUACUCAUGCCAUAGUAUGAACAUGCAAAUAGUCCCUAACCACACAACAAUUUCUGUAGGGGUAAGAAACUGAAUAUUAUCAUCUAGGUCUCUUUUGCACACCAGGUGGGAAAUUUUCCAAUUAGUUCAAACUCCAACCAGCAACCCCGGUCCUUCUGAGGUUGUUGUUUGCUCCACUUUUAUGAAGAGAUACCAAGGUUACGCUCUCUGUUGGUUACUCUCUUCGCAUAUAACUUUUGAUUUCUAUUUAAGUACUUCUCGAGACCACUGUAAGUAGCUUUUGAUGGGGCUUACACAGGAAAAUGCACCCUCUCUUCCACUAAUGCCACCAGAGUGUACACGAAUAUUGACAUACCAAAAGGUAUAGUGCUUCAAGCAAAGUAAAUUUUAUCCGCUUUAUCUUAUAGAUAGUGGAGUUCAAUGACAUUAGUACAUAUCCAACAGUCUUGAGUUAAUUUGCAUAUGCAAGUAUUUUAUCGAUUUGAUCCCAAAAAAAUGAGUACUUCAGUAUAUUAAGUUUGACCUUUUGAUUCACUUUUUACUGUUUCCAUUGUAAGAUGUAACAAAAGUCCAAAAAGGAUUAGACCGUUUUAGUCCUACUACCUCAUUUGGUUACUCUUCAACUUCCUUUAAAUCCUCUGUCAUUGUCCGAUAGUUCUGCCAUUGUAGAGGCUACUGUUUCUGUUCCUCCAAACAUUAAACAUCCCUUGCUUCAAAACUAAAAUAAAAUUACAUCUCGCGUAAAUAAAAAUAUUAUUCCAUCAAACUUAUUUUUGGUAUAAGUAGAUCAUAAGCUACUGUGAUUUUUUUUUUUUGCUACGUCCUUCCCACGAUAAGCCUUUGAUAUUACCUCGAUUGAGAAAUAUAGAGGCCUUAAUAUUAUGUGUUAAGAGCGUUAAAAAAGUCUGCUCUUUAUACAAAUUCUAUCUCAUCCAAGAUUCAUUUCAAUGUGUAUAAGACUUUACAAAGUCUGCUCUUUGUAUCAUUUACUUUUGUUGCGAUGUUUGCAGGUGCUUGGAUGGCAGGACCCUGUCAUAUUAUUGUUGCGAGCAAAAAGGGAAAGCACCCAUUGAAAUUCUGGAUGCUGAUAACAACACAGUAUCCCAAUUACUUCCUACCAAAUAGGGCCCGCCUCCACCAAAAAUAGUACCAUGCAUGCAUUCCAACUAGGCACACUUUGAUUUACCCAGGUUAUCAUGGAUUGAACUGUAAUUUUAUCCAUGUAUAUAGCCUGCCAAUGUGUUGUGCUAAAAAUGCUCUAAUGGAGACUGGUUGGUAAUAUCUUGAUUGUCGUGGGUGUAGCAAGAAAGUUGUUGGUGAGGAUAGUAAUCUUUGGUAUGGAAAAUUUGAGAGCAAAGUCGGCAUUCCCAUAGCCAAGUACCUUCUCCAUUCUGAAGUUGAAGAUGCAAUCGGUACCGACAUGUUUGGGGCUUCGGACAGUGAUGUUCAUAAGAUGGUUCAGCACACUUCCUCUAGACUCAUCCCUUAGAGGAAUCAACGAAGGCUGGAACGCUUUCUUGGUUCUCCCCACUUCUUCACCAGCCUGUCGAUUCUUUGGUAACUUUGAACUCAUUCAACAUGAAGCAGUGAUCACCCACGACUUACACAGUGACCCAUAUCGACUACCAUGGUCCACCUUCUUCCCCUGAUUGAAGCGUUUAUUUUUUGCAUCCGUCAAGGAGGAAAUCAAGGAGGAAAUCCAAGUCUAAAUCUGGGGUAAUAUUAAGCAUCCAAGAAGCGCGUUGUAAUUUUUGAAGAUGAUGAAUAACUAAGCAAAUCAGCAUUUCUGCCUUACGCACAUGGAAUAAGAACUUUAGUUUUUCAAGUGGUGGUGAUUUUUAUCAUCUUUGGUUUUCUACAUUUAGUUGUGUUAUGUUUUCUUUAUUCCCGUUCCUUUUGCAUUUUGGUUAUGUCAGUUAUCAGGGUCCGCCCGUCCUCAUACGUUUGGAUGUGGAUUGUAUUUGAAAUGAUUGUAUAAAUUUAAAGACACUCCAAGCCCUGAGCAAA